AUGUAUUGUCCAUUACGUUCCGAUCUAGCGUAGCUUAAAUUCAUAUCCAUUUCUAGGUUGUUAAUAAUAUGCGUGUUUUAUUUGACCAGCAAAAUAAGCUAUUAGCUAUUAGCUUAUUUUGUAUGGAAGACUUAAGACGUGUUUUAUUUGACCAGUAAAUUAAGCUAUUAGCUUAUUUUGUAUGGAAGACUUAGUCAACAUAAUUAUGUUGGCAUGUCAUAAGCUAUCAUAACUUGUUUAUUGAACUAGAGGCAUUGCCAGUUCAUCGCUUUUUUUUUAUUCACAAUAGCUAGGUUUUUUCCAAAAACAAGUAGUUGGCAAUAUUGAGAAACUCCAUUUUGACAGAUAAAAUUGUAAACAAACCAAAAUUUUAUAUUCUAUCGAUGUGCAAAAUGGCAAAUAAAAACUUUAUCCAUAUUUAUUUUGACCAUCCCGAGUAUAAUAAUGUAGGCCAGAAUAUUAUAGAAAGACGCUGAUAGUCCGGGCAGGCAUUGCCAACACAAUUAAUUUUUAAAGCGAAUAUAUUAAAUAAGCUAAAUGCGUUUUAGUUGUGCAUGAUUUAGCUAUUAGCUUGUGAUGGUCAAAUAAAACAUGCCUAAUAUAUUAUUGGCUUAACUUAAAUUACAAAAAAUAUUAAUAUACAGUAUGUCAAGUAAUUACAGUGUACAUAAUUUGUAUGUAUAAAUAUACAAUGGGCGUGUUUUCAGAGCCGCUGUUUUUUUAUUCGCUGAACUAUGUCAAUGUCGUCGUAUAACUCGUACAGCACAUCGUUCCAUCGUCUGCGGUAUUCGCCGUUGCCAAUGUUCUGAGGACCAUAAAUCUUACGUAAAAUUUUCGUCUCGAAAACUCCCAGUGUCGUCUCAUCUGAUGUUGACAUCGUCCAAGCUUCUGCACCAUAAAUCAGGACAGAUUUUGGUUCAUCGAGAAGGGACUUUACUUUUCAAUUGCCUACUCAGUCCAAAGUAGCACCUGUUGGCAAUUCUGCGCUGAAUUUCGGGGCUGACAUUGUUGGUGUUGUUGAUGGUGGUUCCCAGGUAUACGAAAUUAUCUACUACUUCAAAGUUAUGACUGUCAACAGUGACGUGUGAGCCAAGACGCGAGUGCGCUGACUGUUUGUUUGAUGACAGGAGACAUUUCGUUAUUCACCACCAGACCCAAACGCUUCGCUUCCUUAUUCAGUCUGGAAAAAGGAGAACAAACGGCACGGUUUUUGCUUCCGAUGAUAUCAAUAUCAUCGGCGUAUGCCAGAAGCUGUACAAUCUUAUAGAAGAUUGUACCUUCUCUAUUUAGCUCUGCAGCUUGUAUUGAUGUGUAUGACUACGUUAAAUUGAGUUCAAAAAUCAUCAUUCGAAACUUCACACUUUCAUAUAUACAUACAUAUGUACGUUGGUUUUACAUGCUGCGCUCACAGAAUUGUUUGCGAACCAACUUACCCGGAUGGAAAUUCAAUUCAAGAUAAAGAUAUCAAUAUAUACGAUUUCAUUAAAUUUUUCUUAUUUUUAAUAUUUUUUAGGUAUUGUUUUCAUUUAAUAUUUCAUGGAUUAAUUGUAGAACUUUAUACUUGAAUUGGCGCAUUUGUGAGUUGGUCAUUUCGUUGAGAUCUGGCAAUAAGCUUAAUACAAAUUGUCUUUUGGGACUUUCACUAAACUCUGUUUGAACACUUUGCUCAGUAUAUCUCGCAGGUGCGGAAGCAGAUUGAAUCGGUGUGCAAUUCGUCACUUCAUCUUUAACCAUAAUAUGCUCAAGGGACUCACUGCGCCGUGGAAUAGAAACUAAA
This is a long non-coding RNA of Zeugodacus cucurbitae (melon fly), 1777 nucleotides long. RefSeq lists it as uncharacterized. The transcript has 2 exons. The record is from RefSeq and is a predicted model, not a curated record. Lineage: Eukaryota; Metazoa; Arthropoda; Insecta; Diptera; Tephritidae.